RNAcentral lists this ribosomal RNA (397 nucleotides) under uncultured bacterium. Its description in RNAcentral is "partial 16S ribosomal RNA". It matches the Rfam family "Bacterial small subunit ribosomal RNA", at positions 523 to 918 of the family's 1533-position model. The record is from RNAcentral.
AUACGUAGGGGGCGAGCGUUGUCCGGAAUGAUUGGGCGUAAAGGGCGCGUAGGCGGCGCGGUAAGUCUGGAGUGAAAGUCCUGCUUUCAAGGUGGGAAUUGCUUUGGAUACUGUCGGGCUUGAGUGCAGGAGAGGUAAGUGGAAUUCCCAGUGUAGCGGUGAAAUGCGUAGAGAUUGGGAGGAACACCAGUGGCGAAGGCGACUUACUGGACUGUAACUGACGCUGAGGCGCGAAAGUGUGGGGAGCAAACAGGAUUAGAUACCCUGGUAGUCCACACCGUAAACGAUGAAUGCUAGGUGUAGGGGGUAUCGACCCCUUCUGUGCCGCAGUCAACACAAUAAGCAUUCCGCCUGGGGAGUACGGCCGCAAGGUUGAAACUCAAAGGAAUUGACGGGG